RNAcentral lists this ribosomal RNA (253 nucleotides) under uncultured bacterium. Its description in RNAcentral is "partial 16S ribosomal RNA". It matches the Rfam family "Bacterial small subunit ribosomal RNA", at positions 524 to 776 of the family's 1533-position model. The record is from RNAcentral.
UACGUAGGGACCAAGCGUUGUUCGGAUUUACUGGGCGUAAAGGGCGCGUAGGCGGCGCGGUAAGUCACUUGUGAAAUCUCUGAGUUUAACUCAGAACGGCCAAGUGAUACUGCAGUGCUAGAGUGUGGAAGGGGCAAUCGGAAUUCUUGGUGUAGCGGUGAAAUGCGUAGAUAUCAAGAGGAACACCUGAGGUGAAGACGGGUUGCUGGGCCAACACUGACGCUGAGGCGCGAAAGCCAGGGGAGCAAACGGG